GAUUCCGUAGGUGAACCUGCGGAAGGAUCAUUAUUGUAUAACCGAGGUGCGAGGGCUGUCGCUGACCCGAAAGGUCGUGCACGCCCGAGUGCCCUCACACACAUCCAUCUCACCCCUAUGUGCACCACCGCGUGAGUCCCCCUUUGGCUUGUUCGGAGGGGGGCUUACGUUUUCACACGAACUUUGUAUGCAGUGUAGAAUGUAUUUUUUGUUUUUGCGAUCACGCAAUCAAUACAACUCUCAACAACGGAUCUCUUGGCUCUC
RNAcentral lists this unclassified non-coding RNA (264 nucleotides) under plant metagenome. Its description in RNAcentral is "partial contains small subunit ribosomal RNA, internal transcribed spacer 1, and 5.8S ribosomal RNA". The record is from RNAcentral.